This 4040-nucleotide long non-coding RNA is filed under the name Sus scrofa (pig). RNAcentral's name for it is "lncRNA (ENSSSCG00065007716.1)". Lineage: Eukaryota; Metazoa; Chordata; Mammalia; Artiodactyla; Suidae. The record is from RNAcentral.
UGCAGAGUUCAUUCACAGUAUUUCACUAUUUCUAUUUUUUUUUGCAUUUAUUAAACGUUUAUUGCAAACCUAAUAAUUUCCAUGAACUAUGCCAGGAUGGGAAUAUUAAAACAAAUAGAAUAAUCUCAUUCUGCUGAACAUUUUUUUAAAUUUUUACUGAAAUAUAGUUGAUUUACAGUGUUAUAUUACUUUCAGGUUAUUAUUUCUCCCCCUUUUCCCCCUUGAUAACCAUAAGUUUGUUUUCUGUGAUUCUUUCUGUUUUGUAAAUAAGUUCAUUUGUAUCUGUUUUUCUUAGAUUCCACACAUAAGUGAUAUGAUAUUUAUCUUUCUCCAUCUGGUUUAUUUCACUCUGUAUGAUAAUCUCUGGGUCCAUCCACAUUGCUGCAAAUGGCGCUAUUUUAUUCUUUUUCAUUGCUUAGUAAUAUUACAUAUAUAUACACACCCCCACAUCUUUAUCCAUUCAUCUGUCUUGGCUAUUGUAAAUAGUGCUGCUUUGAAUAUUGGGGCACAUAUAUCAUUUUGAAUUAUAGUCUUGUCUACAUAUAUGCCCAGGAGUGGGAUUGCAGGGUCAUAUGGUAGCUUCGUUUUUAGUUUUUUUAAGAAAACUCCAUGCUGUUCUCCACAGUGGCUACCAAUUUACACUCCCACCAAGAGUGUCGGAGGGUUCCCUUUUCUCCACACCCUCUCCAGCAUGUAUUAUUUAUAGGCUUUUAUUUUUGUCUUUUUAGAGCCACACCCACGACACAUGGAGGUUCCCAGGCAAGGGUCAAAUUGGAGCUGUAGCCACUGGCCUACGCCACAGCAAUGCAAAAUCCAAGCCACAUCUGCAACCUACACCAGAGCUCAUGGCAACUCCAGAUCCUUAACUCACUAAGCAAGGCCAGGGAUCGAACCUGUGUCCUCAUGGAUGCUAGUCAGAUUCAUUUUUGCUGAGCCGACAGGAACUCCUAGACUUUUUCAUGAUCACCAUUGUGACCAGUGUGAGGUAACACCUCAUUGUAGUUUUGAUUUGCAUUUCUCUAAUAAUUAGUGAUACUGAGCAUCUUUUCAUUUGCCUUUGGGCCAUCUGUCUGUCUUUGGAGAAAUGUCUUUUUAGAUCUUUGCCCAUUUUUUUUUUAUUGGAUUGUUUGUUUUUUGGAUACUGAACAGUAUGUAUACGCUGAUUCUGUAUACUGGAGAUUAAUCCCUUGUCAGUCACAUCACUUGCAAAUAUUUUCUCACAUUCUGAAGGCGUUUUGUUUUGUUUAUGGUUUUCUUUGCUGUGUAGAAGCUUUCCAAUUUAAUUAGAUCCCAUUUGUUUGUUUUUAUCUCAAUUAUUCUAGAGAUGGAUCCAAAAAGAUAUUAUUGCUGCCACUUAUAUCAAAGAGUAUUCUGCCUAUGUUUUCCUCUAGGAGUUUUAUAGUAUCAGGUUUUAAUCCAUUUUUUUUGCAGCAACAGAGACAUCCAUGGUUUAAUGAAUCUUACACGUGGAAGCAAGAUCCUGGAGCAACACCCCACCUUAUGUGGCUGACAGCAGAUAGGACAUAAUGGAAGUCUUCACUCCAUUUUGAGUUUAUUUUUGUGUAUAGUGUUAGAGAAUGUUCUAAUUUCAUGUUUUUACAUGUAGCUGUCUAGUUUUCCCAGCACCACAUAUUGAAGAGACUGUCUUUUCUCCAUUGUGUAUCCUUGCCUCCUUUGUCAUAGAUUAACCAUAGGUGUAUGGGUUAUUUCUGAGCUUUCUAUCCUGUUCCAUUGAUCUAUAUGUCUGUUUUUGUGCCAAUACCAGACUGUUUUGAUGGCUGUGGUUUUGUAGUACAGUUUGAAGUCAGGGAGCCCAUUCUUUCAACUCUGUUUUUCUUUUGCAGAAUUGCUUUGGUUAUUCAGGGUCUUUUGCAUUUCUAAACAAACUUUAAAAUUUUUUGUUCUGGUUCUAUGAAAAAUGCCAUUGGCAAUUUGAUAGGGAUUGCAUCAAAUCUGUAGAUUGUCUUGGGUAGUAUAGUCAUUUUGACAGUAUUUGGUUCUUCCAAUCCAAGAAUAUCAUAUAUCUUUGUAUUUGUAUGUGUCAUUUUUAAUUUCUUUCAUCAGUGUCUUAGUUUUCAGAGUAUGUCUUUUACCUCCUUAGAUAGGCUUCUUCCUAAGUAUUUUAUACUUUAUGACACAAUGGUAAAUGGGAUUGUUUCCUUAAUUUCUCUUUCUAAUCUUUCAUUGUUAUUAUAUAGAAAUGCAAGAGACAUUUCUGUGUAUUAAUUUUAUAUCCAGCAACUUUACCAAAUUCAUUGAUGAGUGCCAGUAGUUUUCUGGUAGCAUCUUUAGGAUUCUUCCUGAUUAAAGGAAGCCCUCAUAGAAGAGUGGGGGCAUAAAAUAGGGAAGAGAAGGAAACCAAUAUACAUGCACUAACAAACAAGUUACUGCCCUUGGCAACUUUGAAUCAAUCUCAGUAGCAGUCUUUCGGAGACUGUGGAAUACAACUCAGACUUUUCCACCUGAGGGGCUAGGAAGCUAGAGUAUUUAUUCUCCAACUCCCAUCCAUAAUUGGCUGAGGGCUGCUCUUCAUUUUGUUUUUUUUCCUGAGAGAGAGCCCUCACGUGGAGAGUUAAAGAAGUAGAAAUAAGACACAGUUGGCAAGUAUGGGAUGGUGAAUGCCAAGGGCUUAAGUUAUUGCACCAACAGAAUUUAUUUCAGGUAAGUCUCGACCACCCCAUGAAACAAGGGCUUGUAAGAAAUAUGUAGCCUGAGUUAUUUAAGGGGAAAGAAGUUACAUUUGUUAUAUACAGGAUUUUGUGAAUGAAAAUUUAUAUACCUUACAACUGCAUUCAUAGUUCAUUCUGAUAUAGGAAAAUCAAUUCAGAUUGUUGCUGUGUAUACAACACCAGAGCCAUGUGAAGGACUGGUCUGGAGAUGAGGAUUUGCAGUAUGGCUCCUAGUGAGCCUCGUUUUCUCCCUUGGUAAAAAAGCAAGCACUUAAUUCUAAGGAGUUUAAUUUCUGUUAAAAGUAUUAAACUUCUAGGCUAAGAGGAAUUAUAAAAUGACACCAUAAAAGUUGACAGAUCUCAAUUUACUGGUAAAGAAAUACAAAUGGCACAUAUCAGAACUGCAUUAGCCAAGACCCUAUAAUUACGGAUAUUUAAUAAAAUUAAUGUAAUGGCCAAUAAUCCAAAAUUUUAAAAGCACAUGUGAGAAUCAGAUAAAAUGGAAUAAGAGCAGAGUUCAUUUUAGAUUUUUAAGGAAAUUAUAGACUAAUGAUGUCUGCACCAAUCUUAUGACAAAACUCCCCCAGAGCUCAUAAACAUUCUGAACUGAAUCUGAAACUCUACACUAAACCAGAUAUAGAAUACUUUUAUCUUUAAGGGCACAACAACAAUUUUAUUUAUUUGAGAGGAAUAAGCACAAGGAGCUUCAAAAAAGACAGUAAUAUGGUAGAAUAGAAUUAAUAGAAGGCUUUAGUCAGAAGAUCUAGGUUUUAGUUUUAUCUUUAGCACUUAUGUGAAUAGGAAAACCUGAGGAAGUGUCUAAGCUCCACUGAGCCUAUUUCCUGAAAGUAAUAACAAUGACAACCUUCUAUCCACAUUAUUUGUUUUAUUUUUUAUUACUCUAAUGAAUUUAUCACAUCUGUAGUUGUAUAAUGAUCGUAACAAUCUGACUUCACAGGAUUUCCAUCCCACAGCCCAAGCACAUCCCCCCACUCCCCAAACUGUCUCCUCCAGAGACUAUAAGUUUUUCAAUGUCUGUGAGUCGGCAUCUGUUCUGCAAAGAAGUUCAGUCUGUCCACAUUAUUAACUGAGACAGUAUACAUGAAGUUCCCCUGUGGCUCAGCGGUAAUGAACCCGACUAGUAUCCAUGAAGUUGAGGGUUCAAUUCCUGACCUCACUCAGUGGGUUUAGGAUCCAGCAUUGCCAUGCGCUGUGGUGUAGUUUGCAGACGUGGCUUGGAUCUGGCGUUGCUUGAUAGGCUGUGGCAUAGGCUGGCAGCUGCAGCUCCAAUCUGACCCCUAGGUUGGGAACUUCUAUAUGCCACAAGUGCAACUCUAAAAAGAAAAAAAAAAAUUAGAUCCCUCCCCUCCC